Molecule: transfer RNA, 76 nt
Filed under: Clostridium sp. OS1-26
Lineage: Bacteria; Bacillati; Bacillota; Clostridia; Eubacteriales; Clostridiaceae
Description: tRNA-Thr
Rfam family: tRNA
About the family: Transfer RNA (tRNA) molecules are approximately 80 nucleotides in length. Their secondary structure includes four short double-helical elements and three loops (D, anti-codon, and T loops).
Source: RNAcentral
GCUCCUAUAGCUCAGCUGGUAGAGCAGCUGAUUCGUAAUCAGCAGGUCACAGGUUCAAACCCUGCUAGGAGCACCA